AUUGAACGCUGGCGGCAGGCCUAACACAUGCAGGUCGAGCGGCAGCGGAAAGUAGCUUGCUACUUUGCCGGCGAGCGGCGGACGGGUGAGUAAUGUCUGGGAAACUGCCUGAUGGAGGGGGAUAACUACUGGAAACGGUAGCUAAUACCGCAUGACCUCGAAAGAGCAAAGUGGGGGAUCUUCGGACCUCACGCCAUCGGAUGUGCCCAGAUGGGAUUAGCUAGUAGGUGAGGUAAUGGCUCACCUAGGCGACGAUCCCUAGCUGGUCUGAGAGGAUGACCAGCCACACUGGAACUGAGACACGGUCCAGACUCCUACGGGAGGCAGCAGUGGGGAAUAUUGCACAAUGGGCGCAAGCCUGAUGCAGCCAUGCCGCGUGUGUGAAGAAGGCCUUAGGGUUGUAAAGCACUUUCAGCGAGGAGGAAGGCAUCAUACUUAAUACGUGUGGUGAUUGACGUUACUCGCAGAAGAAGCACCGGCUAACUCCGUGCCAGCAGCCGCGGUAAUACGGAGGGUGCAAGCGUUAAUCGGAAUUACUGGGCGUAAAGCGCACGCAGGCGGUUUGUUAAGUCAGAUGUGAAAUCCCCGCGCUUAACGUGGGAACUGCAUUUGAAACUGGCAAGCUAGAGUCUUGUAGAGGGGGGUAGAAUUCCAGGUGUAGCGGUGAAAUGCGUAGAGAUCUGGAGGAAUACCGGUGGCGAAGGCGGCCCCCUGGACAAAGACUGACGCUCAGGUGCGAAAGCGUGGGGAGCAAACAGG
This 759-nucleotide ribosomal RNA is filed under the name uncultured Enterobacteriaceae bacterium. RNAcentral describes it as "bacterial SSU rRNA". It matches the Rfam family "Bacterial small subunit ribosomal RNA", at positions 28 to 776 of the family's 1533-position model. Lineage: Bacteria; Pseudomonadati; Pseudomonadota; Gammaproteobacteria; Enterobacterales; Enterobacteriaceae. The record is from RNAcentral.